GCAAUACAGUUUUGCAUCUUGCUGUCUCUGCAGGCUGCUACGACAUUGCAGAAUACUUGAUCAACGAACACAUAUUGGAGCUCAAUGCCCCAAAUUAUUCAGGACUCACAGCACUGGACUUGCUUGAACAGGGAGCGGACAGUGAUGGAAAAAAAGGAGUUCUUACAGCCUUGUUAAUUGAAGCCGGAGGUAAAAGGAGCAAUCAACUGUUAACAGGUAUCUCUUCUGCACCAAUUGGAGAAGGAAAUGACAACACCAAACACCACAUAGAUGUUAAAUUGCCAUGUGUUGCUCAAGGAAAUAAGAUGAGGAAAACUAACACUCUGCAAAAACCAUCUAUGUGGUGUUUGGUGUUGUCAUUUUCUCACCUGCAAACGAUACAGGUUGAGGCGCUACAAAAUGCAAGGAACACCAUUAUAGUAGUAGCAGUUUUGAUUGCAACAGUAAGUUUUUCUGCUGGAAUAAGUCCUCCAGGUGGCGUCUACCAGGAUGGACCUUUGAAAGGGAAAUCAAUGGUAGCCAAAACAACAGCUUUCAAGGUUUUUGAAAUAAGUAACACUAUUGCAUUGUGCACAUCUCUUUCAGUGGUCUUUAUACUAGUCAGGAUCAUUCCCUUUCGAAGAAAGCCACUGAUGAGAAUGCUGAAGAUGGCUGAUAGAGUGAUGUGGGUAGCAGUAUCAUUUAUGGUAACAAGUUAUCUAGCAGCAACNNNNNNNNNAGUCAAGGCACAGAAUGGAUUAUGUCUAUGUUGAUACUUGCCCUCAGUGGUGGCACCGUUGGAAUAACCUUUAUUGUUAUAGGUGCGAUUCUGGCUAAUCAAUGGCAGAGGAAAA
This 833-nucleotide unclassified non-coding RNA is filed under the name Hevea brasiliensis (rubber tree). The record is from RNAcentral. Lineage: Eukaryota; Viridiplantae; Streptophyta; Magnoliopsida; Malpighiales; Euphorbiaceae.